This 1533-nucleotide ribosomal RNA is filed under the name Escherichia coli. Its description in RNAcentral is "partial 23S ribosomal RNA". It matches the Rfam family "Bacterial large subunit ribosomal RNA", at positions 349 to 1869 of the family's 2925-position model. Lineage: Bacteria; Pseudomonadati; Pseudomonadota; Gammaproteobacteria; Enterobacterales; Enterobacteriaceae. The record is from RNAcentral.
GGCGCGCGAUACAGGGUGACAGCCCCGUACACAAAAAUGCACAUGCUGUGAGCUCGAUGAGUAGGGCGGGACACGUGGUAUCCUGUCUGAAUAUGGGGGGACCAUCCUCCAAGGCUAAAUACUCCUGACUGACCGAUAGUGAACCAGUACCGUGAGGGAAAGGCGAAAAGAACCCCGGCGAGGGGAGUGAAAAAGAACCUGAAACCGUGUACGUACAAGCAGUGGGAGCACAGAGCAAUCUGUGUGACUGCGUACCUUUUGUAUAAUGGGUCAGCGACUUAUAUUCUGUAGCAAGGUUAACCGAAUAGGGGAGCCGAAGGGAAACCGAGUCUUAACUGGGCGUUAAGUUGCAGGGUAUAGACCCGAAACCCGGUGAUCUAGCCAUGGGCAGGUUGAAGGUUGGGUAACACUAACUGGAGGACCGAACCGACUAAUGUUGAAAAAUUAGCGGAUGACUUGUGGCUGGGGGUGAAAGGCCAAUCAAACCGGGAGAUAGCUGGUUCUCCCCGAAAGCUAUUUAGGUAGCGCCUCGUGAAUUCAUCUCCGGGGGUAGAGCACUGUUUCGGCAAGGGGGUCAUCCCGACUUACCAACCCGAUGCAAACUGCGAAUACCGGAGAAUGUUAUCACGGGAGACACACGGCGGGUGCUAACGUCCGUCGUGAAGAGGGAAACAACCCAGACCGCCAGCUAAGGUCCCAAAGUCAUGGUUAAGUGGGAAACGAUGUGGGAAGGCCCAGACAGCCAGGAUGUUGGCUUAGAAGCAGCCAUCAUUUAAAGAAAGCGUAAUAGCUCACUGGUCGAGUCGGCCUGCGCGGAAGAUGUAACGGGGCUAAACCAUGCACCGAAGCUGCGGCAGCGACACUAUGUGUUGUUGGGUAGGGGAGCGUUCUGUAAGCCUGUGAAGGUGUGCUGUGAGGCAUGCUGGAGGUAUCAGAAGUGCGAAUGCUGACAUAAGUAACGAUAAAGCGGGUGAAAAGCCCGCUCGCCGGAAGACCAAGGGUUCCUGUCCAACGUUAAUCGGGGCAGGGUGAGUCGACCCCUAAGGCGAGGCCGAAAGGCGUAGUCGAUGGGAAACAGGUUAAUAUUCCUGUACUUGGUGUUACUGCGAAGGGGGGACGGAGAAGGCUAUGUUGGCCGGGCGACGGUUGUCCCGGUUUAAGCGUGUAGGCUGGUUUUCCAGGCAAAUCCGGAAAAUCAAGGCUGAGGCGUGAUGACGAGGCACUACGGUGCUGAAGCAACAAAUGCCCUGCUUCCAGGAAAAGCCUCUAAGCAUCAGGUAACAUCAAAUCGUACCCCAAACCGACACAGGUGGUCAGGUAGAGAAUACCAAGGCGCUUGAGAGAACUCGGGUGAAGGAACUAGGCAAAAUGGUGCCGUAACUUCGGGAGAAGGCACGCUGAUAUGUAGGUGAAGCGACUUGCUCGUGGAGCUGAAAUCAGUCGAAGAUACCAGCUGGCUGCAACUGUUUAUUAAAAACACAGCACUGUGCAAACACGAAAGUGGACGUAUACGGUGUGACGCCUGCCCGGUGC